This 267-nucleotide long non-coding RNA is filed under the name Marmota monax (woodchuck). Lineage: Eukaryota; Metazoa; Chordata; Mammalia; Rodentia; Sciuridae. The record is from RNAcentral.
GCGGCCGAGCGCGGGGAGGGAGGGGAGAGCGGGUCACGACGCUGCCGGGGCGGGGAUAACCCCUCACGUGGAGCAGAUGAAAGGGCCGCGGCGCGACGGCCGGGGAAACCGAGUGGAGCCUGCGACCCACAAAGCCGCUGCCGCCGCGAUGGGGCUGUGAGGCGUCCGCCCUAGCUCGGUCCUCCGCCGGCCCGCGACUAUGCCCGGCCGCGCCCGCCCUCCGCGCCCUCCCGCCGCAGGACCAUGAGGCCGCGCUCGGGCGGGCGC